This 700-nucleotide ribosomal RNA is filed under the name uncultured beta proteobacterium. RNAcentral describes it as "bacterial SSU rRNA". It matches the Rfam family "Bacterial small subunit ribosomal RNA", at positions 94 to 789 of the family's 1533-position model. Lineage: Bacteria; Pseudomonadati; Pseudomonadota; Betaproteobacteria. The record is from RNAcentral.
AGUGGCGAACGGGUGAGUAAUACAUCGGAACGUGCCCGAUCGUGGGGGAUAACGGAGCGAAAGCUUUGCUAAUACCGCAUACGAUCUACGGAUGAAAGCAGGGGACCGCAAGGCCUUGCGCGGACGGAGCGGCCGAUGGCAGAUUAGGUAGUUGGUGGGAUAAAAAGCUUACCAAGCCGACGAUCUGUAGCUGGUCUGAGAGGACGACCAGCCACACUGGGACUGAGACACGGCCCAGACUCCUACGGGAGGCAGCAGUGGGGAAUUUUGGACAAUGGGCGAAAGCCUGAUCCAGCCAUGCCGCGUGCAGGAUGAAGGCCUUCGGGUUGUAAACUGCUUUUGUACGGAACGAAAAGACCUCUUCUAAUAAAGGGGGUCCAUGACGGUACCGUAAGAAUAAGCACCGGCUAACUACGUGCCAGCAGCCGCGGUAAUACGUAGGGUGCAAGCGUUAAUCGGAAUUACUGGGCGUAAAGCGUGCGCAGGCGGUUAUGCAAGACAGAUGUGAAAUCCCCGGGCUCAACCUGGGAACUGCAUUUGUGACUGCAUAGCUAGAGUACGGUAGAGGGGGAUGGAAUUCCGCGUGUAGCAGUGAAAUGCGUAGAUAUGCGGAGGAACACCGAUGGCGAAGGCAAUCCCCUGGACCUGUACUGACGCUCAUGCACGAAAGCGUGGGGAGCAAACAGGAUUAGAUACCCUG